This 440-nucleotide ribosomal RNA is filed under the name uncultured bacterium. Its description in RNAcentral is "partial 16S ribosomal RNA". It matches the Rfam family "Bacterial small subunit ribosomal RNA", at positions 338 to 795 of the family's 1533-position model. The record is from RNAcentral.
CCUACGGGUGGCUGCAGUGGGGAAUAUUGCACAAUGGGGGAAACCCUGAUGCAGCGACGCCGCGUGAGUGAAGAAGUAUUUCGGUACGUAAAGCUCUAUCAGCAGGGAAGAAAAUGACGGUACCUGACUAUGAAGCCCCGGCUAACUACGUGCCAGCAGCCGCGGUAAUACGUAGGGGGCAAGCGUUAUCCGGAUUUACUGGGUGUAAAGGGAGCGUAGACGGCAGCGCAAGUCUGGAGUGAAAUCACAUUGCUUAACCAUGGAACUGCUUUGGAAACUGUGCAGCGAGAGUGCAGGAGAGGUAAGCGGAAUUCCUAGUGUAGCGGUGAAAUGCGUAGAUAUUAGGAGGAACACCAGUGGCGAAGGCGGCUUACUGGACUGUAACUGACGUUGAGGCUCGAAAGCGUGGGGAGCAAACAGGAUUAGAUACCCCAGUAGUC